RNAcentral lists this ribosomal RNA (440 nucleotides) under uncultured bacterium. RNAcentral describes it as "partial 16S ribosomal RNA". It matches the Rfam family "Bacterial small subunit ribosomal RNA", at positions 338 to 795 of the family's 1533-position model. The record is from RNAcentral.
CCUACGGGAGGCAGCAGUGGGGGAUAUUGCACAAUGGGGGAAACCCUGAUGCAGCGACGCCGCGUGUAGGAAGACGGUCCUCUGGAUUGUAAACUACUGUUCCCAGGGACGAAGAUGACGGUACCUGGGGAGGAAGCUCCGGCUAACUACGUGCCAGCAGCCGCGGUAAUACGUGGGGAGCGAGCGUUAUCCGGAUUUAUUGGGUUUAAAGGGUGCGUAGGCGGUCCGUUAAGUCAUCGGUAAAAUUGCGGGGCUCAACCGCGUCGAGCCGUUGAAACUGGAAGACUUGAGUUGGCGAGAAGUAGGCGGAAUGCGGGGUGUAGCGGUGAAAUGCAUAGAUAUCGCGAAGAACUCCGAUUGCGAAGGCAGCGUACCGGCGCCAGACUGACGCUGAGGCACGAAGGCGCGGGGAUCGAACAGGAUUAGAUACCCUUGUAGUC